RNAcentral lists this ribosomal RNA (423 nucleotides) under Bacillota bacterium. RNAcentral describes it as "Firmicutes bacterium partial 16S ribosomal RNA". It matches the Rfam family "Bacterial small subunit ribosomal RNA", at positions 355 to 776 of the family's 1533-position model. Lineage: Bacteria; Bacillati; Bacillota. RNAcentral also lists the same sequence under 2 other names. The record is from RNAcentral.
UGAGGAAUAUUGGUCAAUGGUCGGGAGACUGAACCAGCCAAGCCGCGUGAGGGAGGAAGGUACAGAGUAUCGUAAACCUCUUUUGUCAGGGAACAAAGGCGGGGACGUGUCCCCGGAUGAGUGUACCUGAAGAAAAAGCAUCGGCUAACUCCGUGCCAGCAGCCGCGGUAAUACGGAGGAUGCGAGCGUUAUCCGGAUUUAUUGGGUUUAAAGGGUGCGCAGGCGGUCUGUUAAGUCAGCGGUCAAAGCCCGGGGCUCAACCCCGGCCCGCCGUUGAAACUGGCAGUCUCGAGUUGGAGAGAAGUAUGCGGAAUGCGCGGUGUAGCGGUGAAAUGCAUAGAUAUCGCGCAGAACUCCGAUUGCGAAGGCAGCAUGCCGGCUCCACACUGACGCUGAGGCACGAAAGCGUGGGUAUCGAACAGG